UUAUAAAACAACGAAAAUUUUUAAUCUAAACUGGCUAACUGCUGUAAAAUUGUAUAAAAGUUUCCUUUUCCCCGAGUUAACAGUUUUCUGAGGCAGCACUGAUGCCAUGCUUCGGAUAAGCUGAAUUCUACCAUAGCCUGAAAUAAAAAGUGUUGGUUCCAAAAAACUUUGCAAACAGUUAAUGGGAUUGUCAAAAUGACUUAAAAAUACAUGCUUCAAAUCCUGUUUCGUCCAUUUCUAAACCUGUUUAUAAUGAAAAAACGAUAAUCCAUGAAUGAAAGAACAUCGAAUUUUUUCUAAGAAUAUCAAUGUGUAACUCUUUUAAAGGAAAGCUGCUCGAAACUCCUGUGCAUUCAGACAUCGGCAGGUCGCCCGAACACCGAUGUACCUUUUCUACCUCGUGUAUAUUCUUUCCAUAACGCUAGUGCUUGGCGUUUUGGCUUCGGGAGUUGUUAAAUGACAUGCCAAUCAUUCUAAGCGACUAAAAGUAGAUCUCUUAUUUGAAUGCACCUUCCCUCUCUGUUAUUUCGUGUCAAGGUUUAGCUACUGAUGCUAGCAGAUGCAAUCUUCUCCUAAGGGGAAACUGCACAAAGUAGGUGAAACCGCAUAAUGAUCCCCAAGAGAGAAAACCGUUUCACUGAAAAAGGUUAUUAUUAACGCUGUAGCAUUCUACUUGGCACAGGGAAACGAAAUCCCUUCCAACAAAUAUUUCGUAUAUAUGGGCCUUUCAGAUGCAUUUGCACAGAUUUUGGCCUCUACCAUUGGGAUAGUGUUAUCGCAGCAGAGUUAAAUUAUAGAUAGUGCAUAUGUUUUUAUUGUGUUUUAUAUUGUGUAUUAUUUUUCUUGGCCUACUAAUUAAAAAUUAUUUUUUAUUUAUUUCAGGUAAGUGAUAUCGUACUUCUUUGCUUACUGAAUUCUUUGGCCAAGGUUGACUCUGGAGAUGUUGCGUAAAUGUCGUAACUAACUUCGUUUUCAGCUUUGUACAGUUUUGUAAAGUGAAUUCAGGACGACGAUUUUCGAGAUUUAACAGAAGCUUUAGGAUUUGGAUUGGAGUUGAGGAUUUUCUUGCUACUUUUUAUGUAAAGCAUGUUAACUCAUAGGAAUAAAGAGGAUUUACUACGAAAUGGAUUUCAUUUAUGUUGGCUUUGCUAUCAAGAAAUAGUUUACUUUAAAAUACUUUUUAUGUACUACGUUACUUCUGUUGUUGCUUUUUUUGCUAUUUGUAAUAAAAUGCUUCUCUAAAAUGUA
Stegodyphus dumicola is the source of this 1248-nucleotide long non-coding RNA. Lineage: Eukaryota; Metazoa; Arthropoda; Arachnida; Araneae; Eresidae. The record is from RefSeq and is a predicted model, not a curated record.